This 255-nucleotide ribosomal RNA is filed under the name uncultured bacterium. Its description in RNAcentral is "partial 16S ribosomal RNA". It matches the Rfam family "Bacterial small subunit ribosomal RNA", at positions 524 to 776 of the family's 1533-position model. The record is from RNAcentral.
UACGUAGGAGACGAGCGUUGUCCGGAGUUACUGGGCGUAAAGGGUGCGCAGGUGGCGGCGCGCGUGGGGGGGUGAAAUCGCCCGGCUUAACUGGGCGGGGGCCUUCCAGACGGCGUGGCUUGAGCAGCGGAGGGGGGGACGUGGAAUUCCGGGUGGAGCGGUGAAAUGCGUAGAGAUCCGGAGGAACACCGACGGCGCAGGCAGCGUCCUGCCGCUUGCUGACACUGAGGCACGAAAGCUGGGGGAGCAAACAGG